This 424-nucleotide ribosomal RNA is filed under the name uncultured Planctomyces sp. Its description in RNAcentral is "bacterial SSU rRNA". It matches the Rfam family "Bacterial small subunit ribosomal RNA", at positions 355 to 774 of the family's 1533-position model. The record is from RNAcentral. Lineage: Bacteria; Pseudomonadati; Planctomycetota; Planctomycetia; Planctomycetales; Planctomycetaceae.
UCGAGGAUCUUCGGCAAUGGGCGCAAGCCUGACCGAGCGACGCCGCGUGCGGGAUGAAGGCCUUCGGGUUGUAAACCGCUGUCAGAGGGGAUGAAAUCACAGUGGGUACUCCCAUUGUGUUGACAGAGCCUCAGAGGAAGCGCGGGCUAAGUUCGUGCCAGCAGCCGCGGUAAUACGAACUGCGCGAACGUUAUUCGGAAUCACUGGGCUUACAGGGUGCGUAGGCGGCGGAGAAAGUAGGGUGUGAAAUGCCUUGGCUCAACCAAGGCACAGCGCUCUAAACUACUUCGCUGGAGUGAGUCAGGGGUGCGCGGAACUUCCGGUGGAGCGGUGAAAUGUGUUGAUAUCGGAAGGAACACCGGUGGCGAAAGCGGCGCACUGGGGCUUAACUGACGCUGAGGCACGAAAGCCAGGGUAGCGAACG